This 460-nucleotide ribosomal RNA is filed under the name uncultured bacterium. RNAcentral's name for it is "partial 16S ribosomal RNA". It matches the Rfam family "Bacterial small subunit ribosomal RNA", at positions 338 to 795 of the family's 1533-position model. The record is from RNAcentral.
CCUACGGGUGGCAGCAGUGAGGAAUAUUGGUCAAUGGGCGCGAGCCUGAACCAGCCAAGUCGCGUGAGGGAUGACGGUCCUACGGAUUGUAAACCUCUUUUGCCGGGGAGCAAGCGUGCGUUCGUGAACGCGCGUCGAGAGUACCCGGAGAAAAAGCAUCGGCUAACUCCGUGACAGCAGCCGCGGUAAUACGGGGGAUGCGAGCGUUAUGCGGAUUUAUUGGGUUUAAAGGGUGCGUAGGCGGGAUGCACAGUCAGCGGUAAAAAUGCGGUGCUCAACGCCGUCGAGCCGUUGAAACUGGCGUGCUUGAGUGGGGGAGAAGUAGGCGGAAUGCGUGGUGUAGCGGGGAAAUGCAUAGAUAUCACGAAGAACUCCGAUGGCGAAGGCAGCAUGCCGGCGCCCUACUGACGCUGAGGCACGAAAGCGGGGGUAUCGAACAGGAUUAGAUACCCUGGUAGUC